UCUAAUGUUUCUUAUUGUGACUUCUGAGUAAAACAAACAAAUAAAUCAAAACUUUCAACAACGGAUCUCUUGGUUCUGGCAUCGAUGAAGAACGCAGCAAAAUGCGAUAAGUAAUGUGAAUUGCAGAAUUCAGUGAAUCAUCGAAUCUUUGAACGCACAUUGCGCCCGCUGGUAUUCCGGCGGGCAUGCCUGUUCGAGCGUCAUUUCAACCCUCAAGCCCCCGGGUUUGGUGUUGGGGAUCGGCUCUGCCUUACGGCGGUGCCGCCCCCGAAAUACAUUGGCGGUCUCGCUGCAGCCUCCAUUGCGUAGUAGCUAACACCUCGCAACUGGAACGCGGCGCGCCAUGCCGUAAAACCCCAACUUCUGAAUGUUGACCUCGGAUCAGGUAGGAAUACCCGCUGAACUUAAGCAUAUAAUAGCCGGAGAAAAUUCCCUCGUAAUGGGUGCCUUCCCGCGUUCCUACGAAACCUCCCGGCGCCUUGGAGAGCCUU
RNAcentral lists this ribosomal RNA (491 nucleotides) under Fusarium avenaceum. RNAcentral describes it as "eukaryotic LSU rRNA". The stretch from base 50 to 203 matches the Rfam family "5.8S ribosomal RNA". Lineage: Eukaryota; Fungi; Ascomycota; Sordariomycetes; Hypocreales; Nectriaceae. The record is from RNAcentral.